AGGGUAAGGGCGCAAGCUCUGGAAAAGCACGCCGCGGCCGCACAGGUGGUUCGUUCGCCGGGGGGAUGUCAGCUGUUUGUACGGAUGUCUAGCGCACCGACAAACCGGUCUGGAGCUCCCGGAAAGAUGUCCCGCCGCCGCAAUAAGUCCUAACCGGGCUCGCCAGAUUGUGCUGGCUGCUCCCGGCGGCGUGCACCCACCCCGCCAGAAAAGGUCCGUUGAUGGAACGAGGAGCACCUUUACCGACCGUCCGCUGCGCCCGAGGCCAGCCCCCCAGGGGCCAGCCGCCCGAGGGCCAGCGUCCGUCUCGAAGAGCGCUCUCUCCUCAGCACCUCCUUCCGAGGACCUCAGUACGGCGCCCUCUCGACAUGUCAGCCCCGCGGGGAGAUGCAGCUACCGUUCCGUAGGUGAACCUGCGGAAGGAUCAUUA
Molecule: ribosomal RNA, 430 nt
Filed under: Occultibambusa pustula
Lineage: Eukaryota; Fungi; Ascomycota; Dothideomycetes; Pleosporales; Occultibambusaceae
Description: partial 18S ribosomal RNA
Source: RNAcentral